Molecule: transfer RNA, 68 nt
Filed under: Cavia porcellus (domestic guinea pig)
Lineage: Eukaryota; Metazoa; Chordata; Mammalia; Rodentia; Caviidae
Rfam family: tRNA
About the family: Transfer RNA (tRNA) molecules are approximately 80 nucleotides in length. Their secondary structure includes four short double-helical elements and three loops (D, anti-codon, and T loops). Further hydrogen bonds mediate the characteristic L-shaped molecular structure. tRNAs have two regions of fundamental functional importance: the anti-codon, which is responsible for specific mRNA codon recognition, and the 3' end, to which the tRNAs corresponding amino acid is attached (by aminoacyl-tRNA synthetases). tRNAs cope with the degeneracy of the genetic code in two manners: having more than one tRNA (with a specific anti-codon) for a particular amino acid; and 'wobble' base-pairing, i.e. permitting non-standard base-pairing at the 3rd anti-codon position.
Source: Rfam by way of RNAcentral
GGUACAUAGCUCAAUGGCACAGCAUCUGCCUGGCAAGCAGAAGGUUAUGAGUUUGAUUCCCAGUACCA